Small nuclear RNA from Dermacentor andersoni, 183 nucleotides. RefSeq annotates it as U2 spliceosomal RNA. NCBI's taxonomy places the organism in Eukaryota, Metazoa, Arthropoda, Arachnida, Ixodida, Ixodidae. The record is from RefSeq and is a predicted model, not a curated record.
ACAGAUGGUCGACGCGGGUCAAAGUGUAGUAUCUGUUCUUAUCAGCUCAAUAUCUGAUACGGACUAUAUUUGGACCCAAUAUAUUAAACUUAUUUUUGCAAGCUGGCGGAGUGCUUGAAGCCUGCUUCACCUCCGCCGCGGUACGGCCGGUAUUGCACUAUCUCCGCGAUCGGCCCACGAAUC